Molecule: transfer RNA, 74 nt
Filed under: Propionibacterium sp.
Lineage: Bacteria; Bacillati; Actinomycetota; Actinomycetes; Propionibacteriales; Propionibacteriaceae
Description: tRNA-Met
Rfam family: tRNA
About the family: Transfer RNA (tRNA) molecules are approximately 80 nucleotides in length. Their secondary structure includes four short double-helical elements and three loops (D, anti-codon, and T loops).
Source: RNAcentral
CGCGGGGUGGAGCAGCUAGGUAGCUCGCUGGGCUCAUAACCCAGAGGUCACAGUUUCAAAUCCUGUCCCCGCUA